UGAGCAAUCUGCCCUUCUCUUCGGAAUAAGCGUUGGAAACGACGUCUAAUGCCGAAUACGACCUCCUUUCGCAUGAUCGGAGGUGGAAAGCUCCGGCGGAGAAGGAUGAGCUCGCGGCCUAUCAGCUAGUUGGUGAGGUAACGCUCACCAAGGCAACGNUGCGUAGCCGACCUGAGAGGGUNAUCCGGCCACACGUGGGACUGAGACGUACCGGCCCAGACCUGUACGGGGAG
Molecule: ribosomal RNA, 233 nt
Filed under: uncultured bacterium
Lineage: Bacteria
Description: partial 16S ribosomal RNA
Rfam family: Bacterial small subunit ribosomal RNA
Source: RNAcentral